GAAGUGGACACAAAGAUGGAUAGUCUAGAAUAUGAGAAGUGGACAAACAGCUGUGAGAGCCUGCAGAAAUGUUUAGAAGAAAGCAAGAUAAAACAUGAAAAGGUGGAGGUUACAACAGAUGAUUGUGUAGCACCUUUGAGAGAAGCCUCCAACCCAGGAAGAGGAAAGGAUUCCCAGUGGAUAAGGAAGACUGAGACACAGGACAGAUCAGAAAGGUUUAGAGAACUCAGAAAAAGAAUGACACGUAUCUUGGCCACUUUUGUUCCUGCUCCAGACCUUGAGAAGGUUAUUGAUCAGAUUCUUACUCAGGAUAUAGAUGAGAUGUCCUCUACAGAUGUAUUAUUUGGUUGGUACAUUUAUUUAAAGCACAAGUGCUUAUUUGUCAAUUUAUUAUACUGACUUGAAUAUUUAAAAACAUAUUAAUACAAAAGCUGUUUGUGUAGUUUUCUUUCAAAUAUUGUAACACACUAGGCUCUGUGUAAAACUCCACACAGAGUAUCCAAAGUUCAGGAUUAAUUAUAUUUGUAAUUUGUUUUUCUUUGCAUGUGGCUUUUAUGGAAUGUGAAGGAGCAGACAGUUGUUCGAAAUCUACACAGCACUGUCACACCAAACAUCACUCAGCAGCCACAGAUCCUGAAUUAGUUCAACACUGUACUGACAGUAGUGCCUAUAGGUUUCUGUGCUCUCAUGCUGGUGUGUUUUUCUGUAAAAUGACCAACAUUUCUAUUGAGAUGAAAGGGAGUGGAGAAGUGUUGUACACAGUACUUCCCUGGGACAAAAGUCAGUUGCAUGGCAUGGGCCAGUUCAUGCCUGCAGGGCACCUGUAUAACAUUAACUGCUCUGACGAUUCAAUUCGUUAUCUGCACCUUCCACACUGUGAGAUACCUACUGGUAAGUUAAUUUAAGGUUAUAAUGUUAGGAUUAUAAUCAACCUAAUAAAAAGAGAAAUACAAAUCACAUUUUACAUAAAUAAUUAUGUGUGAAUGUAGAAUUACUGGUUACAGUAACAUAAGUGAAAGAUUUGUAUUAUAAAAAGGCAGUUUAUUAAUUUUUUUUUACUUCUUCAUGUAUACAAAUGAUCGACAUAGGUCAUCCAUAACCUUGAAACCAUUGAUAUUUGAAGUAAGUAACAUUUUAUAGCAAGUUCAUUUCAGGAAAUUUUCAAGAAAUUUACUUAAAUCAAUAAAACUCAAACAAAGAUCAUCUCUUUUUUUACAUGGUACUUUUACAAGUUUUACAGAGAAUGGCACAGGGUACAGGGUGCUUCUCUUAAAAGACCAAUGUCACUGGGUACAUUAAGUGCAUUUGGAUUAGGUCGAGAGGGAUGUUUGAGUCACUUGAGAAAGAGGAGCAGGAGUUUGCAUCAACUAUCUUGGUAGUGGGGUGGGGUGCUGUUGAGCAGUCCAUUUUCCUUCAAGUCUUAAGCUUUUUUAGAACAAAGAGCUCAGUGAGAGAGUUAAGAAUGUAAAUUCCAGGCUUGACCAGAAACCUCUUAUUCAGAAAUAAAAUGUCAGUUAAGAGCACAAAGGAAAUAUAACAUGAGGAUUAAUAGAAACUAUAAUGCAUGGGCCCAGUGUACAUGUAAGAGAAACUAGGACAUGAAACAUGGAAAGUACAGAUAAGAGAUAUGAGAAACAAAGAAAGUUGUAUAAAGGUAUGCAGCAUAAAAAACUCACAGAAAUGCUGCUAACAUUAUGAACAUGUUGAAAAGUGCUAGAAAAACGUAUUUUAACAAGAAACUUGAAACAACAAAUUCUCAUUCACCUAUGUAAUAUUUCACUCAAUAUUGUAAAAUAGGAUUCAAAUGAUCCAUAAGGUUAUGAGCGUUAAUAUUAUUUACAGUAUAGGCUGUUAGUCCUCUGCAUGCUGCCAAAACAGUUUCAGCCCACUGAGGCAUGUGUUUUACAAGAAAAUCUUACAUCAUGACCAUAGCAACAGAUCCUUUAAGUCCUGUGGCAUAGAGCAGCCUUGUUGUUCCAGAACAUCCCAUAAAUGCCGAAUUGGAAUGAGAUCUGGGUAUUUGGUGUCAGGACAGCACCUUGAACUGUGUCAUGUUUCUCAAGCCAUUCCUGAACAUUUGUACAAUGUAUUAUCCUGCUGAAAGAUACCAUGAUCAGCUUCAAAAUAUCAUCUCCAUUAAAGUGUUCUUGUGUAGUGGAACUGGCAAGAUGCACACAAUAAUGUUUGCUAUAAUCCUUAUAAUUGCCAACUGUUCGCUUAUAAUGUCUAUUACAGAAUCCAAUCUCAGACCUUGACACUAUUCCCUUUGUCUUUGGUCAUAAUGUUUUGGUUCAUUGUUGUAUUUAAUGACACUUUAUAACAUAAUUUUAAAAAUAACUUACUUUUCCUUUUUCUUAUA
Long non-coding RNA from Tachysurus fulvidraco (yellow catfish), 2359 nucleotides. RefSeq lists it as uncharacterized. Lineage: Eukaryota; Metazoa; Chordata; Actinopteri; Siluriformes; Bagridae. The transcript is spliced from 4 exons. The record is from RefSeq and is a predicted model, not a curated record.